This 368-nucleotide transfer-messenger RNA is filed under the name Gemmatimonadales. Its description in RNAcentral is "JACDDX01 sp013812695 Standard tmRNA". It matches the Rfam family "transfer-messenger RNA". From Rfam's summary of the family: Bacterial tmRNA, also known as 10Sa RNA or SsrA, is named for its dual tRNA and mRNA-like properties. Lineage: Bacteria; Pseudomonadati; Gemmatimonadota; Gemmatimonadia. The record is from RNAcentral. RNAcentral also lists the same sequence under 1 other name.
GGGGGCGACUUGGCUUCGACGGGUUCGUAGAAGGAAUGGCAGCGUGCCCAGGUCCAGAGUCCUGGUAAAACCAUCUGGAACGAUUUAACUGCCAAUACUGAACUGGCACUGGCCGCGUAAGCUGAGCUAAGCUCGCUUGACGCGCCUUCGGCUGGUGGAGCCCGCCCGGAGCGCCUCCCGUCGAAUCGCAAACCCGGGCUGGCCGCGCGCGUCGCUCCGGCGCAGGCGGUGAGAUCGUUCAGGAGCUAGGCCGAGGGGAGGUCGGUUCGGCACCGACCCGAGGCGACGGCAAGAAGACGAGCCUACGCACGUAGACGCGGUUCUGGAAGCUUACUCGGACCAGGGUUCGAUUCCCUGCGCCUCCACUU